This 253-nucleotide ribosomal RNA is filed under the name uncultured bacterium. Its description in RNAcentral is "partial 16S ribosomal RNA". It matches the Rfam family "Bacterial small subunit ribosomal RNA", at positions 524 to 776 of the family's 1533-position model. The record is from RNAcentral.
UACGGGGGGGGUAAGCGUUGUUCGGAAUUACUGGGCGUAAAGGGCUCGUAGGCGGCCAACUAAGUCAUACGUGAAAUCCCUCAGCUUAACUGGGGAACUGCGUGUGAUACUGGAUGGCUUGGAUUUGGGAGAGGGAUGCGGAAUUCCAGGUGUAGCGGUGAAAUGCGUAGAUAUCGGGAGGAACACCUGAGGCGAAGGCGGGCUACUGGGCUGAUACUGACGCUGAGGCGCGAAAGCUAGGGGAGCAAACGGG